Molecule: long non-coding RNA, 9615 nt
Organism: Brassica napus (rape)
Lineage: Eukaryota; Viridiplantae; Streptophyta; Magnoliopsida; Brassicales; Brassicaceae
Exons: 2
Source: RefSeq, a predicted model, not a curated record
GAAUAGGUAUCCGAACAUCUAUCCCUAUAACCGGUGGUAAAAAGAGCCAUGAGUGAUAAAAAUGAGUCACCGAUCACUGGAACCUAAUUUUUUUUAUCAAAAUGUUCUUAGAGAGAUGUCGGAGAAAAUCUAGAAAGAAAUUAAAUAUUUAGAUUUAAAGUUCAAUGAAUUUUUUUCUCAUCCAAUAAUUAAUAUGCAACACCUUUAAUCAUUUGUUCAAUAAUUUGGUGUAGACAAGAUAACAAUAAGGUAAAAUAAAAUAAAAUAAAAUAAAAUGAAGGAGGGAAUCUCCAAGCUUCUCGACUCUUCUAUGAUUCAUUGCUAUAAGCUUUGUUCGACAAUGUCACCACCAUUUUCUUCAUCUAUAAAGAAAACUUUCAUCGUCUCCCUUCGUAUCUCCUCAUAUAUCUCUUAUCUUCAGAGAGGACAUGUGACAAAAUUACUUCGCAAAUAUAGUCUAGGGGAUGGGACAGUAUAUUUUAAUUGCGCUCCUAACUUUCAAGUAAGCUUGCAUGACCCAACCAUACUCAAUACUUUAACUUAAAUUACCAAACGACAUGGAUAUCUACUACUCUAUCGAGUUUAUUUGAAGCAAUCAACAUCUGAAUUUAACCCAAGAUAUCUAUUACAAGAUGAUAAAGGAGAAACAACAAUUCUAGCAGUCCAUAGUAAAGAUACACCAACAGCUACAUAUACACCAAAUCAAUUAAAAUGGGAUGAAAUAACUAUUCCAGAUCAAUGGAAAAUUGAAGUUACUCAACCUCCUAGAAAUUUUGAACAAAAGAAUAUAUCCAAAAUAAUUGAACAGAAAGAUGGAAAAAAUAUUACUAAGGUUUGGAUCUUAUUGGGAUCCACUUCCACCUAGAAUAAGUUCAUAUCAUUCAAGAGCCUCUUUUUCUGAAUAUCGUACGGGUCAAUCCAGUAUAAAUUCAGAAACAGAAAGUGUAAAUCAAAAUACUAAACAAGAUGAACCGAUAAAAUUUAAAGCACCUUUACCAGAACCAGAUCAAGAUGCAUAUCCAACAUCACCUACUCCAUCAGAUUUUAGAUCAAUAAAUGUUGUAAUUAAAAAAUACGAAAUUGAUAAACAAUAUAUAAAAGAAGACUUUUAUUCAAAAGAAAAUGAAGAAAAACGAAGCUGGUAUUUUAAAACUUUUUCUAAACAACAGACUAAAGAGUAUACAGAAAAAUGGUAUGAUUGUAUGAUACUAAAAGAAAUGAAUAUUCCAUUUUUCAUAUGGUUUGAAAUUUAUUCAAUAGGUCAUAAUAUUAAUUAUCCAUUCAGGACGAUUAAUGCAAGUACAUCAUUAAACCAAGUAUGGGAACAAGUGGAUGGAAAUAAAAUUAGAGCAAUUCAUUCACCUUUAAAUGAUUUAAAAACAAAUACUCUAAACCGACAAAUUUUAGCUACACCCUUUAAAACUGGAGCUAACAAAGAUGAUAAAGAACCAGUAUUACUGCAAGAUAUUAAAUCUAUAUAUCAACAUAACAAUUAUGAAAGUCAAAUACUACAUACAAGAAUCUAUAAUUAAUCAUGUUGAAAUAAACAACAAAAAGAUGAAGAAGGAUUUAUGAAUGAUAUAGAAGUACAAAAUGCAGUAGAAGUAUUAAUACAUACUUUAACAAUGCAUUUUAUCGAAAAUCCUAAAGAAGAAUUAGAAAGUAAAAAAUUAUAUUAACAAAUUUAAGGUGUCCAACAUUAGGAGAUUUUAAAUGGUACAAAGAUGUUUUUAUAACUAACAUAUUCCAAAGAAACGAUUGUAAUCAAGCAUUUUGGAAAGAGCGGUUUAUCUCAGGAUUACCAUCUUUCUUUACAAAAAGAAUAAUCAGUAAAUUAAAAGAGUAUUCAGGAGGACAACCAAUCCCUUGGAAUAAAAUUACUUACGGUCAAUUAUUUGCAUUUAUAAAAAAAAGAAGGAUUAGCUAUAUGUUAAGAACAUAAAGAUAAAAAACGAAAUGAUAAAUUUAAAUUUAAAAUAACUAUGGGAUCAUUUUGUGAUCAGUAUGGCUAUAAUCAACUUAACCCUCCGUCAAGAAUUAAACGACUAAGCAUAGGCAUAAUAAAACUACGUAUUUUCAUAAAAAUAAUAAAUUUAAUAAAAAAUCAACAAAUCAAUACUAUGCAAAGAUUAAUAAGCACAAAUCAAAUAAUAACCAAAAGAUAGUAUGCUGGAAUUGUAAAAGACCUGGACAUAAAUCCACGGUGUGUAAAAUGAAAAAGAAGAUAAAUGACAUUUUUUCAAAAUCAACCAGAUAUACAAGAAAAAUUAACUAAACUAUUAAUAUCAGAAUCAAAAACAUCAGAAGAAUCGAAUAGUGAUAACUCUAUAGAUGAGAUAGAAAAUAUUAGUGAUUCUUCAAUAGAAUCACAAGAAUUGUCUGAUAAUCUAUCCAAUUGUAAAACUAUUAACUUUAUAACAAAAUAUAUUGAUAAACAAUUUCUACUAGACAUAACUGAUAAAAUUGACGACCCAAAAAUUAAGAAAGAAUAUUUAACUAAACUAAAAGAUAUAAUAUACCGAGAAAACCAAUUAUAUAGCCCUCAACCCUUUAGUUUAAAUAAAAUAUUUGACAAAUAUCCUACACAAAGUUUAUUUAAGCAAGUAACUACAGGAGACCUACAAAAUGAAGUUAAGCAAUUAAAGACACAGAUUAAAGAAUUACAAUUAAUAGUAAAUCAACACGAAUUAAAACAAUUGCAAACAUAUGCUAUAUUAUCAUUAUUCGAAGCAAAAAAUACUACUCCAGCAUCUACAAGUAGUUUAAAUCAAGCAUCCACAAGUAAUACAAAUCUAGAAAGUGACGAAAAUAAGCAAAUUGGACCUACCGAAGACUAAAUUUCAAAUCAUUAAUAAAUUCAAUUAUCAAAAAUGGUAUACAAAUAUUACCUUACACGUGGGACAUGAUUUCAAAAUAAAUAUAAUAGCAUUAAUGGAUACAGGUGCUAACUACAAUUGUAUUCGCGAAGGAAUUAUACCAACUAAAUAUUAUGAAAAAAACUAUUGAAAAUUAAGUGGAGCAAACGGAAGUAAUUUAAAAGUUCAAUAUAAAUUACCAUGUGCAAAAAAUAUGUAACCAAGGAUAUUGCUUCGAAAAUCAAUUUAUUCUAGUAAAAAACUUAACACAAGAAGUGAUAUUAUGAACUUCAUUUUUUACUCAAAUAUAUCUGUUCAAAGUAACAGAAAUAGGAGUAACUACAAAAGUAGUAGGAACAAAUUAUCGUUUGAAUUCUUAUCACCUAUGAAAACCAAAGAAAUACUAAACUUACAGCAAAAUUCCAUUCAAAAAACCAUUAAUUUAAUAAAAGGAAAACAUAAUCAUAUACAAUAUCUACAAAUUGAAAUAGCAUACAAAAAAAUAGAAGAACAACUUAAGAUGCUUUACAUAAUAAGCAAGAUAAAAGCUAUUGAAAAUGAUAUACUAAACUAAAUCUGCUCAGAACUGCCAAAUGCCUUUUGGGAAAGAAAACAGCAUACAGUUGAACUUUCAUAUAUAAAAAAUUUUAACGAAAGAAAUAUACCAACUAAAGCACGACCUAUUCAAAUGAAUAAGGAAUUAUUAGAACACUGUAAAAAAGAAAUAAAAAAUUUAUUAGACAAAAAUUUAAUCAGGCCAUCCAAAUCUCCCUGGAGCUGUUCGGCCUUUUAUGUAAAUAAUCAAGCCGAAAAAGAGCGUGGAGUACCACGAUUAGUAAUAAAUUAUAAACCAUUAAAUGAUGUAUUACAAUGGAUAUGAUAUCCAAUACCUAACAAAAGAGAUUUAUUAAAACGACUUUAUAAUACAAAAAUUUAUUCAAAAUUUGACAUGAAAAGUGGCUUUUGGCAAAUACAAAUUGCCGAAAAAGAUAAAUAUAAAACAGCAUUCACCGUAUCAUUUGGACAUUAUGAAUGGAAUGUAAUGCCUUUUGGCCUUAAAAACGCACCUUCUAAAAUUUCAACAUAUAAUGAAUGAUAUAUUCAAUAAUUAUUCAAAAUUUACAAUUGUCUACAUAGAUGACGUAUUAGUAUAUUCAACUUCAAUAGACCAACACAUUAGUCACUUAAAUGCAUUCCUCAAUAUAGUUAAAAAAAAAACAUGGAUUAGUUAUAUCAGCCAAAAAAAUUUCUUUAUUCCAAACAAAAAUAAGAUUUUUAGGGCAUAAUAUAUAUCAAGGAACAAUCACACCUAUUUCAAGAUCAAUUGAAUUCGCAGAUAAAUUUCCUGAUGAAUUAAGAGAAAAGACCCAAUUACAAAAAAUUUUAGGAUGUCUCAACUAUGUUUCAGACUUCUUACCCAAUCUUAGGAAAACAAUUCAACAAUUAUUUCAACGGUUACAAAAGAAUCCAAAACUGUGGACUAAUCAACAUACUCUUUUAGUUAAACAAGUUAAGCAAAAGGUUAAAACCCUCCUUUGCCUUUCCAUACCAAAUCCUGAAGCUGACAUGAUAGUUGAAACUGAUGCUUCAGAAAUAGGUUAUGGAGGAAUUCUUAAGAAAAAAUUACCAUGAUCAAAACAAGAAUCUAUAGUUUGAUUCCAUUCAGGAGUCUGGUUAGGACCACAAAAGCAUUAUUCAACAGUUAAGAAGGAAGUUCUCUCAAUUGUUAAUUGUAUCUCAAAAUUCCAAGACGACUUAAUCAACAAAUUUUUUUAUUGCGAAUAGAUUGCAAAUCAGCAAAAUAAAUAUUACAAAAAGAUGUAAAAAACCUAGUAUCAAAACAAAUAUUUGCUAGAUGGCAAGCAAUAUUAUCCGUUUUCAAUUUUGAUAUUCAAUAUACUAAAUCAACAUAUAAUCAACAACAACAAGAUAUUCAAAAUGAGUGACCAGAAAAUGAAAAGCCUAUGUCUCAACUAUGUUUCAGACUUCUUACCCAAUCUUAGGAAAACAAUUCAACCAUUAUUUCAACGGUUACAAAAGAAUCCAAAACUAUGGACUAAUACUCUUUUAGUUAAACAAGUUAAGCAGAUGGUUAAAACCCUCCUUUGCCUUUCCAUACCAAAUCCUGAAGCUUACAUGAUAGUUGAAACUGAUGCUUCAGAAAUAGGUUAUGGAGGAAUUCUUAAGAAAAAAUUACCACGAUCAAAACAAGAAUCUAUAGUUUGAUUCCCUUCAGGAGUCUGGUUAGGACCACAAAAGCAUUAUUCAACAGUUAAGAAGGAAGUUCUCUCAAUUGUUAAUUGUAUCUCAAAAUUCCAAGACGACUUAAUCAACAAAUUUUUUUAUUGCGAAUAGAUUGCAAAUCAGCAAAAGAAAUAUUACAAAAAGAUGUAAAAAACCUAGUAUCAAAACAAAUAUUUGCUAGAUGGCAAGCAAUAUUAUCCGUUUUCAAUUUUGAUAUUCAAUAUACUAAAUCAACAUAUAAUCAACAACAACAAGAUAUUCAAAAUGAGUGACCAGAAAAUGAAAAGCCUAUGUCUCAACUAUGUUUCAGACUUCUUACCCAAUCUUAGGAAAACAAUUCAACCAUUAUUUCAACGGUUACAAAAGAAUCCAAAACUAUGGACUAAUCAACAUACUCUUUUAGUUAAACAAGUUAAGCAAAAGGUUAAAACCCUCCUUUGCCUUUCCAUACCAAAUCCUGAAGCUGACAUGAUAGUUGAAACUGAUGCUUCAGAAAUAGGUUAUGGAGGAAUUCUUAAGAAAAAAAUUACCACGAUCAAAACAAGAAUCUAUAGUUUGAUUCCAUUCAGGAGUCUGGUUAGGACAACAAAAGCAUUAUUCAACAGUUAAGAAGAAAGUUCUCUCAGUUGUUAAUUGUAUCUCAAAAUUCCAAGACGACUUAAUCAACAAAUUUUUUUAUUGCGAAUAGAUUGCAAAUCAGCAAAAGAAAUAUUACAAAAAGAUGUAAAAAACCUAGUAUCAAAACAAAUAUUUGCUAGAUGGCAAGCAAUAUUAUCCAUUUUCAAUUUUGAUAUUCAAUAUACUAAAUCAACAUAUAAUCAACAACAACAAGAUAUUCAAAAUGAGUGACCAGAAAAUGAAAAGCCUAUGUUUCAACUAUGUUUCAGACUUCUUACCCAAUCUUAGGAAAACAAUUCAACCAUUAUUUCAACGGUUACAAAAGAAUCCAAAACUAUGGACUAAUCAACAUACUCCUUUAGUUAAACAAGUGCCUUUCCAUACCAAAUCCUGAAGCUGACAUGAUAGUUGAAACUGAUGCUUCAGAAAUAGGUUAUGGAGGAAUUCUUAAGAAAAAAAUUACCACGAUCAAAAAAGGAAUCUAUAGUUUGAUUCCAUUCAGGAGUCUGGUUAGGACCACAAAAGCAUUAUUCAACAGUUAAGAAGGAAGUUCUCUCAAUUGUUAAUUGUAUCUAAAAAUUCCAAGACGACUUAAUCAACAAAUUUUUUUAUUGCGAAUAAAUUGCAAAUCAGCAAAAGAAAUAUUACAAAAAGAUGUAAAAAACCUAGUAUCAAAACAAAUAUUUGCUAGAUGGCAAGAAAUAUUAUCCAUUAUCCGUUUUCAAUUUUGAUAUUCAAUAUACUAAAUCAACAUAUAAUCAGCAAUAACAAGAUAUUCAAAAUGAGUGACCAGAAAAUGAAAAGCCUAUGACAGCAUCAGAUUAUAUCAAAAACCAACCACAUCUCCAAGGAAGGACUUUAACUCCAAACCCUUACUCAGCAUUAGCUGAAUAUCCUCCUCUAUCCUAUUCAAAAGCAGUCUCUGAAAAGUCAUCAAAGGAAGAAAUACAAUCAUCUACAGCAACCCUAAACACAACCACAAACACUUUCCCAAACACUAAACCAGUCUACUACACCAAACCUCAUAAGCAACACCUGAUGACGACCCCAUUCACCAAACCAAUAAAGCUUACUCAACUCAAAACCUUCAUCAAUCGAGUCUUCUACGAAGGCAGUCCCUGGCCAACAUACAACAUAAUCAAAAACCAAUCCUUUUAUGAGUAUAUUCUAGUAGACUCUAAAUCUGUAGAAAACACCCACUAUAAAAACAAGACAAACCCAAACCUCAUCAACUAUUCAACCUGCAAAUUCCUACGAAUCUGUUCUACCCAAGACCUUGGUUUUAUCCAUAAUCAUACAACUAAACCUUUUUUCACCCCAGGCUAUCAUAUCAACGGCUACACCUAUACCGAUUACAAAAAUGCCUUUUUCCGAGAUUUUUUACUUAGACCCUAUGACCACUCUUGGUUCUUCAGUUUUGAUCAAAACUGCACAAGGACGAUACCAGGAUGGUUCAACGAAUGGUGGUACUGGUUCGGACCAGCAGAUCCAAUCUACCCCGAAGAAGUGUUCAAGACCUCCUACCCAUUCUACAAGAAACACGUACUUGAUCAACCAGUUGGGCCUCUAAACAAAAUCUGGUUUUAUAUCGACAUGGGCAUCCCAUGGAUAUGUUCAUGGCAUUUUACCCUCGCUAUCGCUCUUCAAGACAUGCCUUAUUCUCUCCUCUGAGAAUUCAGAGUCAAAAGGUGGAAAAAAUAUAACAUCGACAUAUGUUCCCUCGCCAAUAUCCACCAAAUUACAAAUCAAGCCAAAACAGUAAUCCAAACUAUAUCCAAAUCCAUACCUCUUCUCAACCCAACCCAAUUAUCCCAAACAAAUCCAACUCCGCAAAAAAAACCAACAUCAAGUCCAACAAAUUCAACUACCUCUUCCUCUUCCCAGAAAUCAUCAAGAAAAGAAAAAAUGAAGAAACUUUUCGCCGAAAUGCUAGCACAAUUUGAGGCGGAAAAUAAUGAUACCGACGACGAUAACCAAUAAGUUGACAGUACGCAACCCGAAGAUCCUUACGGCGGCCCAUUAGACCAGGAUCCGUUUGAUAUUUAAUAAAAAAAAACAUGAAAAUAUGUCUAUAUUUAAAAUUUCGGUUUUAAUUUUUCCAAGUAUAUUCUAGUAGACUCUGUACAUUAUUUCUGUAUUUUUUUCUCUGUAUUUUAUUACUAUUACCUACAAAAUAAAAUACAGAGUAUAUCUGUAUAAGAAGAUUCGCGAAGAAGCUAUGCAAGAAUUUCCGAGAAAGAACCCGGCCGACAUUGGCGGGGCCCGCAUGUGACCCAUGUGAAGACUUCUGCAUAAAAACGACAACAGUCUCUGACAGCAAUUGUCGGCACCACUCAAGACUCAACAUGUAUUAAAUCAAGUGUCGGCACCACUAGAAGACGACACGUUGCAAGAUCUUAUUCAAGCAAACUUUGCCUAUAAAUACACAUUCAUGAUCAAGGAAGGGGGCACGAGCGAUUUCACUCUCUAAACUUCCACUAUAUAAAACUUUCCCUUCUCUCUAAAACUUCCUAGUGUUUUUGUGAGUUUUUAAGCUUGUAAUUUUGUAUCAAAAAUUGUAUCCCAAAUCAAGAUCAAUAAAAGUAAGUUUUAAUCAUAUUAUGUGUACAACAUUCAAAUCUUUAUAAAUGUCAAAUACUAAAAUUUUGUAUAUCAAAAUAGUAACAAAGUUACAAUAAUUAAAACAAAUUAUUAAGGAAUCAAUGAAGUCAAAGUUUUGGUCAAAUGCAAAACUGACAUUUUGCAAACUUCUCAGGCAGUCUACACUCAAUAAAAAGUCAAAAGUUUGGUCAAAUGCAUAAAUAACCUUUUUUACGUAGACGUCUUAGUAAGUCUACCUAACUUUUUGUUUUUGUUGUCAAAGAUAAAAACGAAGACCGCCGGAGAAGUCUGCGGUACAAAAAAUUUUUUUUUUGGUCAAAUGCAAAACUGACAUGUGCGUUGACAAGUAGAUUGCAUCGUAUGUCUGUAUAUAGGCGUAGAUAUACAAAACAGUCUAAUAUCUCGACACAUAUCUAAAAAAUGAUGAAAACCAUGUAAAUAGUUAUCUUAUUCUGGUAUAAAGCUCGUUUCCAACCUUCUCAAUCGUCCAAACUCCAAAUAUGAAAAAAGAACCGUUUUUAACGAUUCACUGAUGAAGAAAUUCGAAAAUAUGAAGUUUGUGUUUAUGAAAAUGAAAGUUAUGAGAGUUACUUUUCUAUACAAAUAUUUUCUUAUCUUUUUUGUCCACAUUAUAUUUUACUAACCAAAGAAUUUAUAAGAGUACAAAUAUUAAAAUUAACACAAAUUACAAGAUGGGAUACAUGUAGGCUUUAUGUUAUAAACAAAACACGUUUCUGCAAAGAGACAUGUAUCUGGAAUGAUCGAGAUUCUCCAUCAAUCUUCGUGCUUUCGGUAACCCUCAUGACCGUCUAAUCUCCGGCAGAUUUUCAUGUCUUUGUCAACAUUGUGGUUGUCACCAAGAUUUGUACUAUCUAAACUCACCUUUUUUCUCUUAACCACUGCUCCAAUAUGGGGCUCAAACAAUCUCUGGUGAUUUAGCACAAGGUAAUACAUAUAAGACUAGAGAAAACUCUUUAUUGGAUCAUCUUAAAAGCAAAACAUUAUAACUCAACUGAAUUUCGCAUACAACAUUUAAGAUAAAUCCAACUUCUCUAUCUUUCUUUUCAUUUGGGAUACUCACUCAUAUACCCGUAGAAAACGUAUUUGAGCACAACCCGAGAAAAAUACCCAAAUCAAAUCAAAACAAAACAAAACGAGAAAGAAUAGAUUCACGAAAGAUGAUAUUAUGUCUGGACUCGUCGGAAAAGAAGAUCUGUAACGGAAAGAGAAAUCCAGUUACACCAUAAUUAAAAUUCGAUUACGAUCAUUAAUUAAAAAAAAAAACAAAAUGGAACAA